Haliotis rubra (blacklip abalone) is the source of this 398-nucleotide long non-coding RNA. RefSeq lists it as uncharacterized. The transcript has 3 exons. The record is from RefSeq and is a predicted model, not a curated record. NCBI's taxonomy places the organism in Eukaryota, Metazoa, Mollusca, Gastropoda, Lepetellida, Haliotidae.
AAAUUAUAUAACAUUAUUAACAUUAAUCACAUAAUGUGAGAUAAAAUAGAAACAAACAUAUGAGGUACAAUUGAACCUAAUGAUGGAUUUUGAUGCAUUUCAGGCUCAACCUUCAAGAAAUAGAAGCAUUGGUGUUCUUUCAAAUGACAUCACGACUGCCUUAGAUUAAAACUUGAAGGAGGUGACAUUCCCCAGAAAAGUAAGAUUGUCAAGUUUUAUCAUUUUUGUUGUUCACCAUACCAUCCCAUGUUGGGCUUGCCCCCCAGUCCAGAUCAACAGUUUGUUGAGGAAAAGCUUGGAAUUCAGUUGAUGCCUAUUCUUGCUGUGAAGAGGAGCAAUCUGAACUGAAGGGGAGAACAGACUCCAAACAAGAGUAGAUGUGAUGACACCAAGAAAGG